This 292-nucleotide ribosomal RNA is filed under the name uncultured bacterium. RNAcentral's name for it is "partial 16S ribosomal RNA". It matches the Rfam family "Bacterial small subunit ribosomal RNA", at positions 505 to 796 of the family's 1533-position model. The record is from RNAcentral.
GUGUCAGCCGCCGCGGUAAUACGAAGGGUGCAAGCGUUACUCGGAAUUACUGGGCGUAAAGCGUGCGUAGGCGGUUUGUUCAGUCUGAUGUGAAAUCCCCGGGCUCAACCUGGGAAUGGCAUUGGAUACUGGCAGGCUAGAGUACGGUAGAGGGUGGUGGAAUUCCCGGUGUAGCAGUGAAAUGCGUAGAGAUCGGGAGGAACAUCUGUGGCGAAGGCGGCCACCUGGACCAGUACUGACGCUGAGGCACGAAAGCGUGGGGAGCAAACAGGAUUAGAUACCCUAGUAGUCC